RNAcentral lists this ribosomal RNA (306 nucleotides) under Pseudo-nitzschia fraudulenta. Its description in RNAcentral is "partial Bacterial large subunit ribosomal RNA". It matches the Rfam family "Bacterial large subunit ribosomal RNA", at positions 1111 to 1418 of the family's 2925-position model. Lineage: Eukaryota; Bacillariophyta; Bacillariophyceae; Bacillariales; Bacillariaceae. The record is from RNAcentral.
AGCAGCCAUCCUUUAAAGAAAGCGUAACAGCUCACUGGUCUAAAUAAGGGUUUCUGCGCCGAAAAUGUAACGGGGCUAAAGCCAUACACCGAAGUCGCGGGCUCGCAAGAGCGGUAGCAGAGCGUUCCGCAAGUCAGUGAAGGGAUACCCGCGAGGGAUCCUGGAGAUACCGGAAGUGCGAAUGUUGACAUGAGUAACGAUAAAGGGAGUGAGAGACUCCCUCGCCGAAAGACCAAGGGUUCCUGCUUAAAGUUAAUCUGAGCAGGGUGAGCCGGCCCCUAAGGCGAGGCCGAAAGGCGUAGUCGA